GGCCUUGUAGCUCAGUGGGUAGAGCGCCGCAACAAUCAUGCGGAGGAAAGGGUUCAAUUCCGUUCAAGGCCA
RNAcentral lists this transfer RNA (72 nucleotides) under Flavonifractor sp. An9. Its description in RNAcentral is "tRNA-OTHER". It matches the Rfam family "tRNA". From Rfam's summary of the family: Transfer RNA (tRNA) molecules are approximately 80 nucleotides in length. The record is from RNAcentral. Lineage: Bacteria; Bacillati; Bacillota; Clostridia; Eubacteriales; Oscillospiraceae.